GAUGAACGCUGGCGGCGUGCCUAAUACAUGCAAGUCGAGCGAACAGAUGAGGAGCUUGCUCCUCUGACGUUAGCGGCGGACGGGUGAGUAACACGCGGAUAACCUACCUAUAAGACUGGGAUAACUUCGGGAAACCGGAGCUAAUACCGGAUAAUAUAUUGAACCGCAUGGUUCAAUGGUGAAAGACGGUUUUGCUGUCACUUAUAGAUGGAUCCGCGCCGCAUUAGCUAGUUGGUAAGGUAACGGCUUACCAAGGCAACGAUGCGUAGCCGACCUGAGAGGGUGAUCGGCCACACUGGAACUGAGACACGGUCCAGACUCCUACGGGAGGCAGCAGUAGGGAAUCUUCCGCAAUGGGCGAAAGCCUGACGGAGCAACGCCGCGUGAGUGAUGAAGGUCUUCGGAUCGUAAAACUCUGUUAUUGGGGAAGAACAAAUGUGUAAGUAACUAUGCACGUCUUGACGGUACCUAAUCAGAAAGCCACGGCUAACUACGUG
This 497-nucleotide ribosomal RNA is filed under the name uncultured bacterium. Its description in RNAcentral is "partial 16S ribosomal RNA". It matches the Rfam family "Bacterial small subunit ribosomal RNA", at positions 28 to 507 of the family's 1533-position model. The record is from RNAcentral.